AGCCCAUUUAACCCCGGUCUCCCCUACUUCUAUCUUUUUUCAAUGUCAGCAUUCAUUAAACGGGAAAUCAGAAUUGGCAAGUCUUCUGUCUCGCUAUUAUAUUGUCCAAUUCUUUGCAUCAAAUAACAAGAAAAUAAAGAGAACAACGAGAAAAUAAACCAGAAUUGCUAACAAUCGCAUUAUGAUGAAAGCCUAUACCAGGUUCCCGUAUGGUAUGUCGUAUCAGUGAUUGCAACAUCCAUCAUCGGCGCUUCUUGUCAGCUACCGAGACCGCCAUGUGGAGAGGAAACAGAAGAGCAAAUUCUCAAGAAGUUCCUGGCUAAUUUUGAGUCAAACGGUUCUAUUGAUGGAAUGGUGACAUACGAUGAAUUUCUAGAUUAUUACGCCGGAGUCAGUUCCUCAAUCGAUCAUGAUGCAUAUUUUGACUUGAUGAUGAGGCAGGCAUGGAAAAUGUAAUGUUUUCGUAAUAUGCUGGUAUUCCCGCAUCUUAUCGAAGAAUCAGCAAGGAAUUCGAUAAGAAAGGAUCUUAAUGGCUGCGGAUGACUUAUCCCAUUUUUUGCGUCCGCCAGCUUUUUCAUCGUAUCUUUUUCCUUCUCCAAGUUUUUUGUCUUAUUUGCAAAUUAUCUCUUUUUUGUUUGUUUUUGACAUCACAGAUGCAGUACGCACACUUAGUUUUACGUUUUAUUUUGUUCUGACUUCAUCUUCCUUUUGACCCUUGCCCUGGAUUUACCACUGCCUAUUUUUUCUAAUUGCCUGUUGUCCCGACGUUACGAGCUAAAUCGAACAAAGUUGGCAUUUCAUCGGUCACUUGGUAUACUAACGUGCACGAUAAAAAAAAAUCAACCGUAUUCGGAAUGAAAAAAUGUAAUACCGCAUACAUUCUUGGACAACUAUCUUAUGCUAACUAAAACAAGUGGAAUUUGAAUAUCGCUUCGUUAUUACUAUAAUCUAAACAAAUAAACUAUCCACAGGGAACUUUUAUGUUUCACUUACUACAGCACUACUUACCUACGUAAUAAAUAGUAUUUAGUUUAUCAACAAAAAUAUUUUAAAGGUAAAGAGGAUUAACGAUUGAGAUUACCUGGCAGCUAACACCGCCCAACAAAUUCCGCUGUUGAAAUUGUUUGUCCCCGGCCCAUCGACAAAUGGAUUUGAAAAAAUUUUGUUAAUCAUGUCACAAAUAGACUAAAAAUUACAAAUUAACAUAAACUAUCAA
RNAcentral lists this long non-coding RNA (1216 nucleotides) under Daphnia magna. RNAcentral describes it as "uncharacterized LOC123467409". Lineage: Eukaryota; Metazoa; Arthropoda; Branchiopoda; Diplostraca; Daphniidae. The record is from RNAcentral.